Non-coding RNA from Gossypium hirsutum (cotton), 145 nucleotides. The record is from Rfam. NCBI's taxonomy places the organism in Eukaryota, Viridiplantae, Streptophyta, Magnoliopsida, Malvales, Malvaceae.
UGUUAAAAAUUUUACCCAUUUCUAUUGUUAAAAACUGACAUGAGUAAUGGAAUAACCAGAUAAUUACAUAUAACAUGCCACAUGUACAUUAUACCAAAGUACAAUGACAAGUUCUGAACCGUAGAAGUUAAUAAAAUUUUUAACA